This 75-nucleotide transfer RNA is filed under the name Thermogladius calderae 1633. RNAcentral's name for it is "tRNA-Glu". It matches the Rfam family "tRNA". From Rfam's summary of the family: Transfer RNA (tRNA) molecules are approximately 80 nucleotides in length. Their secondary structure includes four short double-helical elements and three loops (D, anti-codon, and T loops). Lineage: Archaea; Thermoproteati; Thermoproteota; Thermoprotei; Desulfurococcales; Desulfurococcaceae. The record is from RNAcentral.
CCGCCGUAGUAUAGCCCGGUCAAGUAUGCGGGCCUUUCGAGCCCGUGACCCGGGUUCAAAUCCCGGCGGCGGCAC